UUCAAUGGUGGCUCAGGCAGGGCAACCUUCGGGUUGGCCGGGUUUCUAACGUUCGCCGGUACUGCGAACCCUGUCUGAGCUACCACCAAU
This is a non-coding RNA of Rahnella aquatilis, 90 nucleotides long. Lineage: Bacteria; Pseudomonadati; Pseudomonadota; Gammaproteobacteria; Enterobacterales; Yersiniaceae. The record is from Rfam.